UUGAAUGGCUGCGGUAUUCUAACCGUGCUAAGGUAGCAUAAUCAUUUGUCUUUUAAUUGAGGGCUUGUAUGAAAGGUCGGAUGAAGUAAUAACUUUCUUUAAUUUAAUUUAUGAAUUUAAUUUUUAGGUUAAAAAGCUAAAAUGUUUUUAUAGGACGAGAAGACCCUAUAGAUCUUUACAGUUUGUUAGGUAUAAUGAUUUGGUGAAUUAUUUAUUAUUAUUCAAUGAUUUUGUUUGGUUGGGGUGAUUGUGGAAUUCUUUUAACUUCCAUUAUUUUUUUUUCAAGGGUUAUUGUUUUU
This 299-nucleotide ribosomal RNA is filed under the name Rhodnius robustus. Its description in RNAcentral is "partial 16S large subunit ribosomal RNA". Lineage: Eukaryota; Metazoa; Arthropoda; Insecta; Hemiptera; Reduviidae. The record is from RNAcentral.